This is a long non-coding RNA of Hevea brasiliensis (rubber tree), 950 nucleotides long. RefSeq lists it as uncharacterized. The transcript has 2 exons. The record is from RefSeq and is a predicted model, not a curated record. NCBI's taxonomy places the organism in Eukaryota, Viridiplantae, Streptophyta, Magnoliopsida, Malpighiales, Euphorbiaceae.
AUAUAUGGGUUUUUUUUUGUUUUAAUUGGGUUUAUUCUUUAAAGCUAGGCUUUGAAAUCUGCUGCAUGCAGCAGCUUCUCUUUAGCCCUUCGCGUGGAGGGAGGUCGUCUCCCCUCUUUGAUCAGUGGGUUUUCCUUCCUACUGGCGGAUAAGGGUAUAAAUGGUUCUGAUGAUUAGAGCAACAAGUGAUGAAUGAAGAAGAUCUUCUGGCACAAAAUGAAAGAUCUUAGCAAACUUGCUCCGGCUUGAGUAGCUUAAUAGUUUUGUUGCAUGUGGUUCCUUCUUGUUAUGGUUGUUGAAGGUUGACUUUGGAAGCUGCAUGUGUCAGAGAAUGCUUAGUUUUUCUCUGAUCUAGCAUGGAACCGGUCGUCUGGUGGGCAGCUCAUAGGGUGCGAUUUGGUAGAUCAGCCUGGAAGGUGCAAAUGGGACACUAAAGAGACCCAUCGCCGACGUUCUAUGCUUGCUGUGGUGUCGAUGCAUAACUUCAAUGGUGCCUAACCUCUUAGCCUGGGGUUCAACAGCUCUCUAAAUCCAUGAAGCUACAUGAGAAGACUUUGCCAGCAGGCUCCUUUGAUCUUUAGUAUUUUUUCUAAGUCUUUAAUGGCAUCAGUAAUUAGGGAGAUAAGUUGUUUUCUUCGCUAAUCAUGGCUAUGGGCAUCUUCUCAAGCAACAAAUAGUGGAAGGUUCAGCUACAUUUUGGUAUAUUUUUUCAUAUUUUUUGGGUCAAAUUUGUAAGGUAGUUCACCCAAUUGGAGUGUGGGAUUCUGGCCAUAUGGGACCUAAAUUUAGUGGGCUUCAUUGAAAAUUUUUAAUUAUGAACUCUCCUGUAUCUGGGCUCUAGGCCUUUUAAAUUAAUGAAUCAAUGUUCCAUCAUUCGAUAAAAAAAAAAAAAAAAAGCAAGCAUAUAUAUAGAUAUGCCAUAUAUAAAUGUGUGUGUUCAUGGUGAAAAA